UACGAAGGGGGCUAGCGUUGCUCGGAAUCACUGGGCGUAAAGGGUGCGUAGGCGGGUUUUUAAGUCAGAGGUGAAAUCCUGGAGCUCAACUCCAGAACUGCCUUUGAUACUGGCGACCUUGAGUCCGGGAGAGGUGAGUGGAACUGCGAGUGUAGAGGUGAAAUUCGUAGAUAUUGGAAAGAACACCGAUGGCGAAGGCACUUUACUGGGCUAUUACUAACACUCAGAGACGAAAGCUAGGGUAGCAAAUGGG
Molecule: ribosomal RNA, 253 nt
Filed under: uncultured bacterium
Lineage: Bacteria
Description: partial 16S ribosomal RNA
Rfam family: Bacterial small subunit ribosomal RNA
Source: RNAcentral